Molecule: ribosomal RNA, 2712 nt
Filed under: Helicobacter sp. Dog-4
Lineage: Bacteria; Pseudomonadati; Campylobacterota; Epsilonproteobacteria; Campylobacterales; Helicobacteraceae
Description: bacterial LSU rRNA
Rfam family: Bacterial large subunit ribosomal RNA
Source: RNAcentral
AGGCGAUGAAGGACGUACUAAGCUGCGAUAAGCUAUGGGGAGCUGCUAAGAAGCUUUGAUCCAUAGAUUUCCGAAUGGGGCAACCCAAUACAUAGAGAUAUGUAUUACCUUUAAUGGAGCGAACCUAGCGAAGUGAAACAUCUCAGUAGCUAGAGGAAAAGAAAUCAAACGAGAUUCUCCUAGUAGCGGCGAGCGAACGGGGAAGAGGGCAAACCGAAUGCUUGCAUUCGGGGUUGAGGACUGCAAUAUCCACUUGAAACACUUAGCAGAAGUAUUUGGAAAGAUACGUCACAGAGGGUGAUAGUCCCGUAUGCGAAAAGUGUUUCAUAGGUAGCAGGAUCCAGAGUAGGCCAGGACACGUGAAAUCCGGGUUGAAGCCGGGGAGACCACUCUCCAACCCUAAAUACUACUAUCACACCGAUAGCGAACAAGUACCGUGAGGGAAAGGUGAAAAGAACCGCAGUGAGCGGAGUGAAAUAGAACCUGAAACCAUCUGCCUACAAUCAUUCAGAGCCCUAUGAUUUAUCAGGGUGAUGGACUGCCUUUUGCAUAAUGAUCCUGCGAGUUGUGGUAUCUGGCAAGGUUAAGCACACGCGAAGCCGUAGCGAAAGCGAGUCUGAAAGGGCGUUUAGUCAGAUGCUGCAGACCCGAAGCCAAGUGAUCUAUCCAUGGCCAAGUUGAAGCGAGUGUAAUAGCUCGUGGAGGACUGAACUCGUACCCAUUGAAACGGGUUGGGAUGAGCUGUGGAUAGGGGUGAAAGGCCAAACAAACUUGGUGAUAGCUGGUUCUCUUCGAAAUAUAUUUAGGUAUAGCCUCAAGUGAUAGUAAUAGGGGGUAGAGCUCUGAUUGGGCUAGGGCUGCUCACCGCGGUACCAACCCCUGUCAAACUUCGAAUACCUAUUACCGUAUCUUGGGAGUCAGGCGGUGGGUGAUAAAAUCAAUCGUCAAAAGGGGAACAACCCAGACUACCAACUAAGGUCCCAAAGUUCUAUUCUAAGUGGAAAAUGAUGUGAAGUUACUCAGACAACCAGGAGGUUGGCUUAGAAGCAGCCAUCCUUUAAAGAAAGCGUAACAGCUCACUGGUCUAGUGAUUUUGCGCAGAAAAUAUAACGGGGCUAAGAUAGACACCGAAGUUGUAGAUUGUGCUGAUGCACAGUGGUAGAAGAGCGUUCGUAUCAGCGUUGAAGCCAUACCGGCAAGGAGUGGUGGAGCGAUGCGAAGUGAGCAUGCAGGAAUGAGUAGCGAUAAAAGUGGUGAGAAUCCACUUCGCCGAAAGUCUAAGGUUUCCUACGCGAUGCUCGUCAUCGUAGGGUUAGUCGGGUCCUAAGACAAGUCCGAAAGGGGUAGUCGAUGGCAAAUGGGUUAAUAUUCCCAUACCAACAUUAGUGUGCGAUGGGGGGACGCAUAGGGCUAAGUAGCGUUAGCUGAUGGAAUAGCUAAUUUAAAAGUGUAGAUUGAGAGAUUGGCAAAUCCGCUUUUGUAUUCGAAACUUGAAUAGCUUGUUGCGAUCUUCGGAUCAAGAUGAGUGCUACUGACGCCGUCGUGCCAAGAAAAGCCUCUAAGUUUAGCUAAUGUUGCCCGUACCGCAAACCGGCACAGGUAGAUGAGAUGAGUAUUCUAAGGCGCGUGAAAGAACUCUGGUUAAGGAACUCUGCAAACUAGCACCGUAAGUUCGCGAUAAGGUGUGCCUACGCAAGUAGGUCUCAGCAAAGAGUCCCUCCCGACUGUUUACCAAAAACACAGCACUUUGCAAACUCGUAAGAGGAAGUAUAAGGUGUGACGCCUGCCCGGUGCUCGAAGGUUAAGAGGAUUAGUUAGCAGUAAUGCGAAGCUUUGAAUUGAAGCCCGAGUAAACGGCGGCCGUAACUAUAACGGUCCUAAGGUAGCGAAAUUCCUUGUCGGUUAAAUACCGACCUGCAUGAAUGGCGUAACGAGAUGGGAGCUGUCUCAACCAGGGAUUCAGUGAAAUUGUAGUGGAGGUGAAAAUCCCUCCUACCCGCGGCAAGACGGAAAGACCCCGUGGACCUUUACUACAGCUUGGCACUGCCGAUGGGAGCAUUAUGCGCAGGAUAGGUGGGAGGCUUUGAAAUCUUCACUCCGGUGGAGAUGGAGCCAUCCUUGAGAUACCACCCUUAAUGUUUCUGUCUGCUAACUGGCUAGAGUUAUCCUCUAGCAGGACAAUGCCUGGUGGGUAGUUUGACUGGGGCGGUCGCCUCCUAAAAAGUAACGGAGGCUUGCAAAGGUUGGCUCAUUGCGGUUGGAAAUCGCAAGUAGAGUGUAAUGGCAUAAGCCAGCCUGACUGUAAGACAAACAAGUCAAGCAGAGACGAAAGUCGGUCAUAGUGAUCCGGUGAUUCUGUGUGGAAGGGUCAUCGCUCAAAGGAUAAAAGGUACCCCGGGGAUAACAGGCUGAUCUCCCCCAAGAGCUCACAUCGACGGGGAGGUUUGGCUCCUCGAUGUCGGCUCAUCGCAUCCUGGGCCUGGAGCAGGUCCCAAGGGUAUGGCUGUUCGCCAUUUAAAGCGGUACGCGAGCUGGGUUCAGAACGUCGUGAGACAGUUCGGUCCCUAUCUGCCGUGGGCGUAGGAGAGUUGAGGAGAGCUGUCCCUAGUACGAGAGGACCGGGAUGGACAUGCCACUGGUGUAAGAGUUGUUCUGCCAAGAGCAUCGCUCUGUAGCUACGCAUGGACGUGAUAACCGCUGAARGCAUCUAAG